This 406-nucleotide ribosomal RNA is filed under the name uncultured prokaryote. RNAcentral describes it as "bacterial SSU rRNA". It matches the Rfam family "Bacterial small subunit ribosomal RNA", at positions 355 to 776 of the family's 1533-position model. The record is from RNAcentral. RNAcentral also lists the same sequence under 1 other name.
UGGGGAAUAUUGGGCAAUGGGCGCAAGCCUGACCCAGCAACGCCGCGUGAAGGAAGAAGGCUUUCGGGUUGUAAACUUCUUUUGUCAGGGACGAAUAAAUGACGGUACCUGACGAAUAAGCCACGGCUAACUACGUGCCAGCAGCCGCGGUAAUACGUAGGUGGCAAGCGUUAUCCGGAUUUACUGGGUGUAAAGGGCGUGUAGGCGGGAUUGCAAGUCAGAUGUGAAAACUCGGGGCUCAACCUCGAGCCUGCAUUUGAAACUGUAGUUCUUGAGUGUCGGAGAGGUAAUCGGAAUUCCGUGUGUAGCGGUGAAAUGCGUAGAUAUACGGAGGAACACCAGUGGCGAAGGCGGAUUACUGGACGAUAACUGACGCUGAGGCGCGAAAGCGUGGGGAGCAAACAGG